AAAAAUUUGAAAAUAAAAAGAUUGGAACCAGCGUAUGGAAACAGAGAAUUCCCUCUGCCUUCCCACCUCGUACCAGAAACUCUUUCGUUUCCAUUAGGAAAUUGAUUGGAUGUCAAAAAAAAAAUCGCAUUUUUCUGUGGCUUCAAGCUUGUUGGGCUAAUGGGUUUUGCUUUUUGAGCCAACGGAAUCCGGUACUUCUACAGAGAUUGAAGGAAUCACCAGGAUUUCACUCAACAUGGAAGAAUCAAGUGGAGUGCACUCUGAAGAGAAUAAAGCAUCUAUGGAGAAAGAUAGGAAAAGAAGGCUCAAGACACCUGCCCAGGUUAUGGCUUUGGAAAAAUUUUAUGACGAGCACAAAUACCCUACGGAAGAAAUGAAGUCCCAACUUGCAGAGCAGAUAGGAUUGACAGAAAAGCAAAUAUCUGGAUGGUUUUGUCACAGAAGGUUAAAAGACAAAAAACUGUUCAGAGAUGAAGCUUGUCCUAGUGGACGACAAGAUCAUUCAGGUGCUGUUAUUCAGGAUCGUGGCAGUGGACUCGUACAAGAUUCAUGUGGCAGCACAAAACAUGGUGAUUAUAGGCACAUUGAUCCAAGGGAAGUUGAAAGUCGAAGGCUCUAUCGCAAUGAUUUUCAGGCUGCAGGCCUCACCUAUGAGCAUGCGACUCAUUAUACAGGAACUGUCCGUGGCACAGAUAAUAGAUCUUCAGAAAGUAGCUCAUCUUCGCAAGACAGAUUGUUUCGCCAAACUGAGGAUCCAGAUGAUAGGGAAAAUUCUAGAUACCUAACACAUAAUGGAGUCAUUGCACCCAUAAAUGCUACUAGUGAAAAAGUGAUUGGAUAUAAGCCAUCAGGAUACUUGAAAGUGAAGGGUGAAAUUGAAAAUGCUGCUGUUACUGCUGUUAAGAGGCAAUUGGGGCGUCAUUAUCGAGAGGAUGGUCCACUGCUUGGUGUGGAAUUUCAACCACUUCCUCCCGGUGCAUUUGAGUAUCCGAUUAGGAAUGCCAUCCGUGAACCUUACUAUGUUGGGAAUCCUUCUCUUACCCAUUCUCCAGAUAUCUCUGGACCAGAAAGGCAACGUAGUCUCAGCAAUAGAUAUGAGAUGUACAAUUCCAAUAUGAGUUCACAGGAUUUAUAUAUAGAAAGGGAGAAUUGUGGCAGCAUGCAUGGCUCUGACUAUCAGGACAAGAUAUCUCAUCCCCAAUUCAAACAGAAUUCAACUGUUCUCAACCAUACAAAACCUUUCUGUAAGCAGAACUCUUUCUCUGAUCUGUAUGAAGAUUCUGCAGGAGAAACCACUGUUUACAGCAAUAAGAGGAAUCAAAGAAUGAGUGGUAAGCAUGAUGUUGAAGGGAUGAGGACUGAUGCUAUCGCUAAUCUUCACGGUCACCAUGAUGUGAAAAUCGGAAGUGAGUUGCAUGAUUAUGAUAAUGUCAGCCCCAACAUUAUCCAUAUGAGUGAAAAAUUCAAAUCGAAGCCUUCGAUAUUGAUUCGUAAUCCCUGCGAAUCAGUUGAUACAGAUACAGAGGAGAGGGGGUUAUCUAUGAGGAUGAAAAAGAAGGAGAAAGUCAAUCGAAAACUCAAGGGUAUUAAAGAAUAUGGAAACCAAGUUAACUUAAAGAUGCAUCCAACAAAGGAAAUGAUGUGUUUUUCCUUGCUAUUGAUGCCCCAUUUGAAAUUGAAGGUUGCAAAACGAGUCAUACCUGAUCUUCCUAAAACAGACUAUGUGCAAAAAGCAUCAUUCACUGGAAUGCCGACAUGGACACAUCGGAGCAAAGGAUCUGUCAUGGAGAUCCCUUCUAGCUUUAGCGAGGAUGAAACUGCAGAAACCAGCUCUUCCCUGGAAUAGGAGCCAGCUGUUGAUGGAUGGUAGAAAGCUUUAAUGUUCUCAAAGCGAUGGGCAUGUACACUCCAAUGCAGAAUCACUUCUUUAUAGUUACAAGGGAAGCACUACUUACCAUUAUCAUCAUCAGCAACAAAAUUUCAGUCCACUGGCUAGCAAUUUCUUUUGCAGUUGCAGCGCUCACCUGUUUAUAUGUGUAGAAAGAAUUCCUUUUUUUUUUUUUUUAUGUUUUCAUUUGAGUUUUACUGCUUCGCAGAGGAAAAUAUUGGUAAUGAACGCUUGGCUGUAAGAUUCAUAUGCCUGGAUCUGCAAAGGAUCAAGCUCCCGAACAACAGCGGAUAUUUUACCGAUACAAUUGUUACAUGAACUGAAAAUAUUGGAACGGAGUCAUUAUCACAGGUUUUCUCCAGAUAUGUGAUAAUUUUAGCAUUUUAGUGCUUUGUAUCUUAGUUAGCUUUUUAAAACCUCUCACAAGCAAUGCUUCUUCUGCUUGGAAAUGCCUAUCCUGUUGGCUUUGCUUAAAUUGUCUUUGAAUUUCAUGCUCUCCUUGCUUUAUUGUAUUUGAUAUGUUUUAGUAUACAACAAAAGGGAGGAAAAGGAUUGGCGCGGCA
This is an RNA transcript of Carya illinoinensis, 2451 nucleotides long. It is a transcript of the gene named homeobox-DDT domain protein RLT1-like, with no coding region annotated. Lineage: Eukaryota; Viridiplantae; Streptophyta; Magnoliopsida; Fagales; Juglandaceae. The record is from RefSeq and is a predicted model, not a curated record. The transcript is spliced from 9 exons.